Molecule: ribosomal RNA, 700 nt
Filed under: Bacillota bacterium
Lineage: Bacteria; Bacillati; Bacillota
Also listed under: 1 other name
Description: bacterial SSU rRNA
Rfam family: Bacterial small subunit ribosomal RNA
Source: RNAcentral
GCCCUUCGGGGUACACGAGCGGCGAACGGGUGAGUAACACGUGAGCAACCUGCCCCCGACUCCGGGAUAAGCGGUGGAAACGCCGUCUAAUACCGGAUACGACACACCGCCUCAUGGCGGUGUGUGGAAAGUUUUUCGGUCGGGGAUGGGCUCGCGGCCUAUCAGCUUGUUGGUGGGGUAACGGCCUACCAAGGCGAUUACGGGUAGCCGGCCUGAGAGGGCGACCGGCCACACUGGGACUGAGACACGGCCCAGACUCCUGCGGGAGGCAGCAGUGGGGAAUAUUGCGCAAUGGGCGAAAGCCUGACGCAGCGACGCCGCGUGGGGGAUGACGGCCUUCGGGUUGUAAACCUCUUUUACCACCAACGCAGGCUCCCAGUUCUCUGGGGGUUGACGGUAGGUGGGGAAUAAGGACCGGCUAACUACGUGCCAGCAGCCGCGGUAAUACGUAGGGUCCGAGCGUUGUCCGGAAUUAUUGGGCGUAAAGAGCUCGUAGGCGGCGUGUCGCGUCUGCUGUGAAAGACCGGGGCUUAACUCCGGUUCUGCAGUGGAUACGGGCAUGCUAGAGGUAGGUAGGGGAGACUGGAAUUCCUGGUGUAGCGGUGAAAUGCGCAGAUAUCAGGAGGAACACCGGUGGCGAAGGCGGGUCUCUGGGCCUUACCUGACGCUGAGGAGCGAAAGCAUGGGGAGCGAACAGGAU